UAGGGAAUCUUCCGCAAUGGACGCAAGUCUGACGGAGCAACGCCGCGUGAGUGAAGAAGGAUUUCGGUUCGUAAAACUCUGUUGUUAGAGAAGAACAGCGCAUAGAGUAACUGUUAUGCGUGUGACGGUAUCUAACCAGAAAGCCACGGCUAACUACGUGCCAGCAGCCGCGGUAAUACGUAGGUGGCAAGCGUUGUCCGGAUUUAUUGGGCGUAAAGCGAGCGCAGGCGGUCAAUUAAGUCUGAUGUGAAAGCCCCCGGCUCAACCGGGGAAGGUCAUUGGAAACUGGUUGACUUGAGUGCAGAAGAGGAGAGUGGAAUUCCAUGUGUAGCGGUGAAAUGCGUAGAUAUAUGGAGGAACACCAGUGGCGAAGGCGACUCUCGGGUCUGUAACUGACGCUGAGGCUCGAAAGCGUGGGUAGCAAACAGG
Molecule: ribosomal RNA, 429 nt
Filed under: Bacteroidota bacterium
Lineage: Bacteria; Pseudomonadati; Bacteroidota
Description: Bacteroidetes bacterium partial 16S ribosomal RNA
Rfam family: Bacterial small subunit ribosomal RNA
Source: RNAcentral